This 266-nucleotide small nuclear RNA is filed under the name Castor canadensis (American beaver). RNAcentral describes it as "7SK RNA (ENSCCNG00000009171.1)". It matches the Rfam family "7SK RNA". From Rfam's summary of the family: 7SK was discovered as an abundant small nuclear RNA in the mid-70s but a possible function has only recently been suggested. Two independent studies have found that 7SK RNA binds the CDK9/cyclin T complex (known as elongation factor P-TEFb). The record is from Rfam by way of RNAcentral. Lineage: Eukaryota; Metazoa; Chordata; Mammalia; Rodentia; Castoridae.
AGGUGUGAGGGUGAUCUGGCUGCAACAUCUGUCAUGCCAUUGAUUGCCAGGGCUGGCUAGGCUGCGUCCCCUUUUCUCACUUCUCUAUGCAGUGUUCCUCCUGAAGCUGUGCGAUUGGUCAAAGAGGAUGACUUUCUCUGAAAGAGGAGGACCAUUCAUAGUCAUGGGUAUAAGAGUAGCUAUGCUCCCUUGUUAGAACUGCCAAACAAACUCUCAAAAAAACAGCCAAGGGCUGACAGAGUGGCUCAAGUGGUAGAGUGCUGCAU